Molecule: small RNA, 95 nt
Filed under: Arabidopsis thaliana (thale cress)
Lineage: Eukaryota; Viridiplantae; Streptophyta; Magnoliopsida; Brassicales; Brassicaceae
Description: ATSL211460
Source: RNAcentral
AAAAAAACUUCGUGUUCUUAUAUUUUUUGUUAGGCAAUCAACACAGACAUUGUUACAACAGAGAAUAACUCUAAUAUAAAAUAAAGACAAAAAAU